RNAcentral lists this small nuclear RNA (104 nucleotides) under Amborella trichopoda. Lineage: Eukaryota; Viridiplantae; Streptophyta; Magnoliopsida; Amborellales; Amborellaceae. The record is from RNAcentral.
AUUUCCUUCUUCUAACAUCUGAUAAAAUUGGAAUGUACCGGGAAGAUUACCAUGGCCCUGGCGCAAGGAUGACACACACUAAUCUAGAAAUGGUCCAAAUAUUU